UUUCCGUAGGUGAACCUGCGGAAGGAUCAUUCAUAAUAAAGUGUUUUAUGGCACCUUUUAAAAAUCCAUAUCCACCUUGUGUGCAAUGUUAGAUCUCGUCAAUCUUGGCGAGAUUUUUAUACAUCAACUCAUUCUUUAACUAAUUUGUCUGAAAAAUAUUAUGAAUACUUAAUUCAAAAUACAACUUUCAACAACGGAUCUCUUGGCUCUCGCGUCGAUGAAGAACGCAGC
This 231-nucleotide unclassified non-coding RNA is filed under the name plant metagenome. RNAcentral describes it as "partial contains small subunit ribosomal RNA, internal transcribed spacer 1, and 5.8S ribosomal RNA". The stretch from base 183 to 231 matches the Rfam family "5.8S ribosomal RNA", at positions 1 to 49 of the family's 154-position model. The record is from RNAcentral.